AAAGAAUUAAUUGAUUAAAGAAGUAUAAAGAAUUGAUAUAUAUAUAUUCAUUAGAUAAAAUAAGAAAAAUCGUUCUCUCUCUAGUUUUUCUAGAGAGAGAAAUUUUCUCUGAAGGAAAACUCCUUUUUCCUUCUCUCGGAUUGUAGUCGAGCAUUUCCGGUGACUUUCCCUUGCCCUCUAGACGAGGGAUGGCGGUUCUCUCCGACUUGGUGAAUCCUUUAUAGGUAUAGGUUGUACAGUUUUGGGUUUUGUUUCGUUUUGCAAAUCCUGAGGUCCUAUCGAUGGCAUUAGCUUGGUGUUUGGUUUUGGUGCAAGGAGAGGUUUUAAGGAAGACGUCACAGGGAUGGAGUGCUAAAGUUGAUAUUGAGUUUAUUGGUUGUCCAUGGCUAGAUGAGAUUGAGAUGCCAUGGUCCUUACUCUCCUUCUCUUCCACGCAAAGCCAGAAGCUUGGAGUUCUUUUCUACCGAGAGAUGCUUCGCUUGGUUGCAUGGGUGUCGAGAUCUAUGGCUUUGGAUCUUUGGAUGGUUUGGCCUUUGGCCUUUUCUUGCUUUUGCAGUUGCUCUUUCUUUUUUCAUGUCUCCGAUGGUUUGCUAUUGCCUAUACCGAUGAUGGCGUUGUGCUUGAUAGAUUCUCUGGUUGUUUGCUUGGAGUCCUUAGAUCUAGAGUUUGGCAGCUGAGUAUUCUGAGCUUUAUCAUUCUGGGCCUGUGCUUGAUAGGAUUUGUUUAUAUUUCUAAGCUUUGUGCCUUUGUUCCUUGUAAUCUUGCCCAUUUGAAUUUUAAUGCAAUGUAUUUGCAAUUUCAA
Molecule: unclassified non-coding RNA, 802 nt
Filed under: Hevea brasiliensis (rubber tree)
Lineage: Eukaryota; Viridiplantae; Streptophyta; Magnoliopsida; Malpighiales; Euphorbiaceae
Source: RNAcentral